CAUCAACGUGGCUUCUCUCCCCAGCAUUGGAGGGGAUGACAGUCUGAAAUGCAUUUUUGGCAAUUUUGAAAGUGAAGCGAAAGUGGGCGACUCAAAGGUCACUUGUGAUCUGCCGAAAGUCACCGAGAUUCCUGUCACUCCCAAAAAUAAAGAUUUCGUCCAAGUGGCCGCGAAGAUCUUUGUGAAUGACGAGGUGGAGUUGGCGUCCAGCUACUUCACCUUUUAUAACUGCAGCGCAGCCGCGAGGCAGGCGGAGAACACACCGUGCAUGUCGUGUGUGGACAGCGAGUGGAGCUGCCAGUAGAACACUCAGGAAUUCAACAGCGAUGACUCCAUGGGUGAUCACAUUAUCAAACAUAAAGAAGUAAGAAAUGAGGCAGCAGCGGCAUGUCUCACCUAUUCCUGUCUGCCAGGUGUCUUAAAAAUGAAAAAAUGCCCUGUGUUUGACAUUCGCAGGGAAGUAAGUGCCCAGUUUUUGAGAAUCCGACUCCGUCUCUCAUUCCUGUGGGUUACGAAACCUCCAUCGAGUUCACUGGAAAAAACCUCCGUGUUUAUGAGGGCAGAGAUUCAAGAUUGGCACCGAGCUGAUGGUGCCCACUGAGGAAAUGGUCACUAUAAAAGAUUCAAACUACAGUUUAAAGGGAUGCAAGGACCAGUUUGCCUAUGAUGAAACACGAACAGUUGACGUGCUCUUCUACAUCAAGGACAGAAAGACACAUAAGAAGAUUGACAGCAAACUAAACGGUAGGCCUGACAGUCAGACGUGGACUGUUCGGACU
Molecule: long non-coding RNA, 779 nt
Filed under: Scleropages formosus (Asian bonytongue)
Lineage: Eukaryota; Metazoa; Chordata; Actinopteri; Osteoglossiformes; Osteoglossidae
Description: lncRNA (ENSSFOG00015028821.1)
Source: RNAcentral